RNAcentral lists this ribosomal RNA (131 nucleotides) under Endogone sp. RNAcentral describes it as "partial large subunit ribosomal RNA". Lineage: Eukaryota; Fungi; Mucoromycota; Endogonomycetes; Endogonales; Endogonaceae. The record is from RNAcentral.
AAACGUUUGAAAUCAGUCAUGCGUGCGGGUAAUCAGCUUGGCCUUUGGGUCUUGUGCACUUUCUCGUAUCGCAGGUCAGCGUCGGUUUUGUUUGCCGGAUAAAUGCCAAGGGAAUGUAGCUCUACCUUUCA